Molecule: long non-coding RNA, 1531 nt
Filed under: Numida meleagris (helmeted guineafowl)
Lineage: Eukaryota; Metazoa; Chordata; Aves; Galliformes; Numididae
Description: lncRNA (ENSNMEG00000001256.1)
Source: RNAcentral
CGUAGUGGGGCGAUGUGGGGUGGCGAUGUGGGGCAAAGCAGGGUGCUAUGGGGCACAGUGGGGCAAUGUGGGGCACAGUGCGGUGCUAUGGGGCAGAGUGGAGCGAUGCAGGGUUCUGUGGGGCACAGUGGGGCGAUGUGGGGUGCUAUGGGGCACAGUGUGCUGAUGCGGGGUUCUAUGGGGCACAGUGGGGCGAUGCGGGGUGACGAUGUGGGGCACAGUGCGGUGCUAUGGGGCAGAGUGAGGCGAUGCGGGGUGACGAUGUGGGGCAGAGUGCAGUGCUAUGGGGCAGAGUGGGGCAAUGCAGGGUGCUAUGGGGCACAGUGGGGCGAUGUGGGGCACAGCGGGGCGAUGCAGAGUGACGAUGUGGGGCAGAGUGCAGUACUAUGGGGCGGAGUGGGGCGAUGCGGGGUGACGCUGUGGGGCAGAGUGCGGUGCUAUGGGGCACAGUGGGGCGAUGCGGGGUUCUAUGGGGCACGGUGGGGCGAUGUGGGGCAGAGUGGGGUGAUGCAGAGUGAUGAUGUGGGGCGCAGUGCGGUGCUAUGGGGCAGAGUGGGGCGAUGUGGGUUGACGAUGUGGGGCAGAGUGCGGUGCUAUGGGGCAGAGUGGGGCAAUGUGGGGCACAGUGCGGUCCUAUAGGGCACGGUGUGGUGAUGUGGGGCGCUAUGGGGCACAGUGGGGCGAUGUGGGGCAGAGUGGGGCGACGCGGGCUGACGCUGUGGGGCGCGGCGGGGCGCUAUGGGGCACAGUGGGGUGAUGCGGGGUGCUAUGGGGCAGAUUGGGGCGAUGCAGGGUUCUAUGGGGCACGGUGGGGCAAUGCAGGGUUCUAUGGGGCAGAGUGUGGUGCUAUGGGGAAGAAUGGGGCGAUGCGGGGUGAUGAUGUGGGGCAGAGUGCAGUGCUAUGGGGCAGAGUGGGGCGAUGCAGAGUGACGAUGUGGGGCACAGUGCGGUGCUAUGGGGCACGGUGGGGUGCUGUGGGGCAGAGUGGGGCGAUGCGGGGUGCUAUGGGGCACAGUGGGGCGAUGCAGAGUGACGAUGUGGGGCAGAGUGCGGUGCUAUGGGGCAGAGUGGGGCAAUGCAGGGUUCUAUGGGGCAGAGUGGGGCGAUGUGGGGCACAGUGGGGCGAUGUGGGGCACAGCGGAGCGAUGCAGAGCGACGAUGUGGGGCACAGUGGGGUGCUAUGGGGCACGGCGUGCUGAUGCGGGCUUCUAUGGGGCACAAUGGGGCGAUGCAGGGUGCUAUGGGGCACAGCGUCGCGAUGCAGAGCAACGAUGUGGGGCGCGGCAGGGCGCUAUGGGGCAGAGUGGGGCGAUGCGGGCUGACGCUGUGGGGCGCGGCGGGGCGCUAUGGGGCACGGUGUGGUGACGUGGGGGUGCUAUGGGGCGGCUGCGCCCCACAGGAUGGGGGCGACGGUGUUCGUGCAACCGCUGGACCUGGUGAAGAACCGCAUGCAGCUCAGUGGGGCGGGAGCGCGCACCCGCGAGUAUCGCAGCAGCUUCCACGCACUCGGCUCCAUCCUGCGGCACGAGGG